RNAcentral lists this ribosomal RNA (477 nucleotides) under uncultured Acidimicrobiales bacterium. Its description in RNAcentral is "bacterial SSU rRNA". It matches the Rfam family "Bacterial small subunit ribosomal RNA", at positions 8 to 490 of the family's 1533-position model. Lineage: Bacteria; Bacillati; Actinomycetota; Acidimicrobiia; Acidimicrobiales. The record is from RNAcentral.
AGAGUUUGAUCAUGGCUCAGGACGAACGCUGGCGGCGUGCCUAACACAUGCAAGUCGAACGAGAUCCAUCCAGUGGCAACACUGGUGAAGAUCUAGUGGCGAACGGGUGAGUAACACGUGAGGAACCUGCCCCGAUCUCAGGAAUAACAGGUGGAAACACCUGCUAAUACCGGAUGCCUUCUCUGUAUCGCAUGGUACGGAGAAGAAAGAUUCAUCGGAUCGGGAGGGCCUCGCGGCCUAUCAGCUAGUUGGUGGGGUAACGGCCCACCAAGGCUCCGACGGGUAGCUGGUCUGAGAGGACGAUCAGCCACACUGGGACUGAGACACGGCCCAGACUCCUACGGGAGGCAGCAGUGGGGAAUAUUGCACAAUGGGCGAAAGCCUGAUGCAGCGACGCCGCGUGGGGGAUGACGGCCUUCGGGUUGUAAACCCCUUUCAGCAGGGAAGAAGCGAAAGUGACGGUACCUGCAGAAGAGC